AAACUGGAGAGUUUGAUCCUGGCUCAGAACGAACGCUGGCGGAGUGCUUAAGACAUGCAAGUCGAACGAGAAAGUCGCCUUCGGGUGGCGAGUAAAGUGGCGCACGGGUGAGUAACGCGUGGACAAUCUGCCCUUUGGUUUGGGAUAACCCCGGGAAACUGGAGCUAAUACCGAAUAAGCCCACGCCGUCUUCGGACGAAGUGGGAAAAGAUGGCCUCUCCUUGGAAGCUGUCGCCAAUCGAUGAGUCCGCGUACCAUUAGCUAGUUGGUGAGGUAACGGCUCACCAAGGCUACGAUGGUUAGCUGGUCUGAGAGGAUGAUCAGCCACACUGGAACUGAGACACGGUCCAGACUCCUACGGGAGGCAGCAGUC
Molecule: ribosomal RNA, 373 nt
Filed under: Myxococcota bacterium
Lineage: Bacteria; Pseudomonadati; Myxococcota
Description: bacterial SSU rRNA
Rfam family: Bacterial small subunit ribosomal RNA
Source: RNAcentral